RNAcentral lists this ribosomal RNA (1381 nucleotides) under Aconophora flavipes. RNAcentral describes it as "SSU rRNA". It matches the Rfam family "Eukaryotic small subunit ribosomal RNA". The record is from RNAcentral. Lineage: Eukaryota; Metazoa; Arthropoda; Insecta; Hemiptera; Membracidae.
GAUUAAGCCAUGCAAGUCUAAGUAUAAGCCAAAUUAAGGUGAAACCGCAAAAGGCUCAUUAAAUCAGUUAUGGUUCCUUGGAUCGUACAAUCCAUUACUUGGAUAACUGUGGUAAUUCUAGAGCUAAUACAUGCAAACAGAAUCCCGACCAGAGAUGGAAGGGACGCUUUUAUUAGAUCAAAACCAAUCGGGGCUUGCCCCGCACUUCUUGGUGACUCUGAAUAACUUUAAGCUGAUCGCACGGUCCUCGUACCGGCGACGCAUCUUUCAAAUGUCUGACUUAUCAACUGUCGAUGGUAGAUUCUGCGCCUACCAUGGUUGUAACGGGUAACGGGGAAUCAGGGUUCGAUUCCGGAGAGGGAGCCUGAGAAACGGCUACCACAUCCAAGGAAGGCAGCAGGCGCGCAAAUUACCCACUCCCGGCACGGGGAGGUAGUGACGAAAAAUAACGAUACGGGACUCAUCCGAGGCCCCGUAAUCGGAAUGAGUACACUUUAAAUCCUUUAACGAGUACCAAUUGGAGGGCAAGUCUGGUGCCAGCAGCCGCGGUAAUUCCAGCUCCAAUAGCGUAUAUUAAAGUUGUUGCGGUUAAAAAGCUCGUAGUUGGAUCUGUGUCUAACGGUGUCGGUUCACCGCUCGCGGUGUAACUGGCGCGCCGGUUGGACGUCCUGCCGGUGGCGGUCCUGGCUUUCGGUUUUGUGUAGGUUCUCCGAAGCAUGCCGAUUGUCCAGGCCGCCGAUUCAAUCCCGCCGCGGUGCUCUUCACUGAGUGUCGAGGUGGGCCGGCACGUUUACUUUGAACAAACAAAACAGGCCCGUACACCGGAAGGAUUGACAGAUUGAUAGCUCUUUCUUGAUUCGGUGGGUGGUGGUGCAUGGCCGUUCUUAGUUGGUGGAGCGAUUUGUCUGGUUAAUUCCGAUAACGAACGAGACUCUAGCCUGCUAACUAGGCGCUCCGGUAUCCACAAUAGUGCUACCGGCGAAUAAAUUUCUUCUUAGAGGGACAGGCGGCUUCUAGCCGCACGAGACUGAGCAAUAACAGGUCUGUGAUGCCCUUAGAUGUCCUGGGCCGCACGCGCGCUACACUGAAGGAAUCAGCGUGUCUUCCCUGGCCGAAAGGUCCGGGUAACCCGUUGAACCUCCUUCGUGCUAGGGAUUGGGGCUUGCAAUUGUUCCCCAUGAACGAGGAAUUCCCAGUAAGCGCGAGUCAUAAGCUCGCGUUGAUUACGUCCCUGCCCUUUGUACACACCGCCCGUCGCUACUACCGAUUGAAUGAUUUAGUGAGGUCUUCGGACUGGUGCGCGGCGAUCGCCUCGUGUGGUCGCCGAUGUUGCCGGGAAGAUGACCAAACUUGAUCAUUUAGAGGAAGUAAAAGUCGUAAC